CGCAUCUGUGCAUGCAGCAUAUCAAUAAGCGGAGGAAAAGGAGUGUACCUACGCUUAGGAUGUUGACACACGCGCGUGCUCGAUGAUAGUCUAUACAUGACUCUGUGCAUAUCAAUAAGCGGAGGAAAAGAGGGCUAUUACCUACGCUUAGGAUGUUGACACACGCACGUGCUCGACUCUACACAUGACUCUGUGCAUAUCAAUAAGCGGAGGAAAAGGCUGCGGAACUGAACGACCGCUACCUACGCUUAGGAUGUUGACACACGCGCGUGCUCGACUCUAUACAUGACUCUGUGCAUAUCAAUAAGCGGAGGAAAAGCAUAACAUGUAUACCUACGCUUAGGAUGUUGACACACGCGCGUGCUCGAUGAUAGUCUAUACAUGACUCUGUGCAUAUCAAUAAGCGGAGGAAAAGGCUGCGGAACUGAACGACCGCUACCUACGCUUAGGAUGUUGACACACGCGCGUGCUCGACUCUAUACAUGACUCUGCGCAUAUCAAUAAGCGGAGGAAAAGAAACUAACAAGGAUUCCCUUAGUAACGGCGAGUGAAGCGGGAAGAGCUCAAAUUUGAAAUCUUCAAGGUUUUACCUUGACGAAUUGUAGUUUAAAGAAGUGUUUUCUGUUGAAGUUUUGGUAAAAGUUCUUUGGAAUAGGACAUCAUAGAGGGUGAGAAUCCCGUAUUUGACCAUUAUUUUCAGCUGUGUGAUACACUUUCAAAGAGUCGGAUUGUUUGGGAAUGCAGUCCAAAAUGGGUGGUAAAUUUCAUCUAAAGCUAAAUAUUGGCGAGAGACCGAUAGCGAACAAGUACCGUGAGGGAAAGAUGAAAAGAACUUUGAAAAGAGAGUUAAACAGUACGUGAAAUUGUCAAAAGGGAAGCGUUUGACACCAGUGUUGUUUUCUCGAAAAUCAAUUAAAAAGAGUUAGAUUUUGUUGUGUAUUGACCUUAACAGCUUGCAUUUCAAUCUUCUUGCUUUUUUUAAUGCACUUUUCGUUUAACAAGUCAACAUCAGUUUCUUUUGUUGUAAAAAGGUCAUUGGAAGGUGGCUUUCUUUUCGGAGAAAGUGUUUAUAGCCUUUGACUCCUGCAAUCGGAGAGACUGAGGUCUGCAGCGUAGAUCCUUCGGGGUUAGAUACAUUUGUGCUAAGUUAUAGCUUUUUAUAGACAACUUGUUGACUAUGAUUAGUCUUGUAGCUUACUCGCUUAUGCUAUUUUACCUACGCUUAGGAUGUUGACACACGCGCGUGCUCG
Molecule: ribosomal RNA, 1250 nt
Filed under: uncultured Neocallimastigales
Lineage: Eukaryota; Fungi; Neocallimastigomycota; Neocallimastigomycetes; Neocallimastigales
Description: partial large subunit ribosomal RNA
Rfam family: Eukaryotic large subunit ribosomal RNA (bases 455-1250)
Source: RNAcentral